This 331-nucleotide ribosomal RNA is filed under the name uncultured bacterium. Its description in RNAcentral is "bacterial SSU rRNA". It matches the Rfam family "Bacterial small subunit ribosomal RNA", at positions 1 to 330 of the family's 1533-position model. The record is from RNAcentral.
CGGCCGCGUCGACUUCUGGCUCAGGACGAACGCUGGCGGCGUGCUUAACACAUGCAAGUCGAACGAUGAAGCCUAGCUUGCUAGGUGGAUUAGUGGCGAACGGGUGAGUAAUACGUGAGUAACCUACCUUUAACUCUGGGAUAAGCCUGGGAAACUGGGUCUAAUACCGGAUACGACCAAUCUCCGCAUGGGGUGUUGGUGGAAAGCGUUAUGUAGUGGUUAUAGAUGGGCUCACGGCCUAUCAGCUUGUUGGUGAGGUAAUGGCUCACCAAGGCGACGACGGGUAGCCGGCCUGAGAGGGUGACCGGCCACACUGGGACUGAGACACGGC